Long non-coding RNA from Xyrauchen texanus (razorback sucker), 942 nucleotides. RefSeq lists it as uncharacterized. The record is from RefSeq and is a predicted model, not a curated record. The transcript has 3 exons. Lineage: Eukaryota; Metazoa; Chordata; Actinopteri; Cypriniformes; Catostomidae.
AACAUUACUUAGGAAAAAUGAAUGUGAUACAAAAUGUCUGAAAGGGGCGUGUUUAUGUAAAUGUCCAAAUUUUAACAAUAUAUACCUGUCAAUAAAUCAAAUGUAAUUUUGACUGAUGGUUUUUCAAACCUAACAUGCUUCAAGAUGACAUCACUCUGAAGUACUGCGCAAAGAAUGGCCGACAUUCGCCCCUAGGGGGCGCUACAGGCCAUGUCGAAAUUCCCAUUUUCUGGUCUAAAAUGUUCUAAUUUGGUACAAUGGUACUACAGGCCAACAGGAACCCACAAACCAAGAAUGGCCGACAUUCGCCACUAGGGGGCGCUAAAGGCCACGCCAAAAUUCCCGUUUUCUGGUCAAAUUUUUUUUUAAUUUGGUACAUUGAUACUACAGGCAGACAGGAACCCACAAACCAAGAAUGGACAACAUUCACCCCUAGGGGGCGCUACAGGCCAUGCCAAAAUUCCCAUUUUCUGGUCAAAAAUGUUCUAAUUUGGUACACUGAUACUACAUGCCAACAGGAACCCACAAACCACGAAUGGCCAACAUUCGCCAUUAGGGGGCGCUACAGGCCAUGCCAAAAUUCCCAUUUUCUGGUCAAAAAUGUUCUAAUUUGGUACACUGAUACUACAUGCCAACAGGAACCCACAAACCACGAAUGGCCAACAUUCGCCAUUAGGGGGCGCUACAGGUAAUUCCAAAAAAUCCCAUUUUCUGGUCAAACAUUUUCUAAUUUGGUGUAUUGAUUCUACAGGCCGACAGGAACCCACAAACCAAGAAAGGCCCACAUUCGCCCCUAGGGGGCGCUACAGGCCACUCCAAAAUUCCCAUUUUCUGGUCAAAUAUUUUCUAAUUUUGUACAUUUAUACUACAGGCCAACAGGAACCCACAAACCAAGAAUGACCAACAUUUGCCCAUAGGUGGCGCUACAGGCCACGCCCCAAA